This is a long non-coding RNA of Magnolia sinica, 2771 nucleotides long. RefSeq lists it as uncharacterized. The transcript is spliced from 6 exons. Lineage: Eukaryota; Viridiplantae; Streptophyta; Magnoliopsida; Magnoliales; Magnoliaceae. The record is from RefSeq and is a predicted model, not a curated record.
CGGCAUAAAUGGUUGGGAAUAAAGCAGAUAGAUUGUCCACAUUCGAUACGAGUAUAAUAAUAAUUUUUUUUUGAGUCCGGAUCCUCUAUUAUUUGGUAAAUAGGGAUUCCCUGAUUGCCUAAUCCUCUUGCUUUUGGAUGGCCUUUUUUGCCCGUAAAUCAUUUUACAGACUGUAAAUGAUUUAUAGUAUUUACAGGCAAAAAGUUUGGAUUUCAUGCAGACUAAAUCCAUCAAAUUGAAAUUUUUUUUUCAAGAGGCAUGCAUUUACUAUGUCAAUUUAUACCCAUGAUAGCCCCAGAGAUGGGUCAUUAAACAGAGUUGAGAAGGUACAUUAAAACAUGGUAUGGACUGUUUGCCAUCUUGGGCAUCCCCACUGUAGGGGAGACUUGGAGGCUCAAGACCCACCAAUAUACUGGUUUUUGAUUGCUGGAUGAUGCAAUACACUUGUCUCACUCAUCCGUUACAUAAUGUUUCCCUCUUAUUUGUCAGAUUAAGGUUAGGAUGAGGCAUAUUCCACAUCCUCCUAUUUAUUCUUCUCUUUCCUUCUUAUCAUGAGUUUUCUUAGUCCUAUGAAAAAUGUUAGAAUUGUUGGUUAUUUAUUAUUUAAUGGUAAGCCAAAUAUUAAUAAUUCAGUACCAUAAUAGGUUGUCAUGGUUGUAGAUGCUUCUCUCAUCUCUACUUUUACCAUCAAUUGAAAUGGGAAAAAAAAACCUUAGAAGCAUAACUGAGUAUUUUCAUAUUCCUUCUUUCUCAUCUUAAUCUUUGUAGCAGAGAGGAAGAAAAACCAUAAAGCUUUUGUGGGUUUUGCCUCUUGUUGGGCUGUUGAUGAUGAGAUGGGCUUAAAGUUUUCAAGAGUUGAAUGUGACUGAGAUUUCAUAUGUGGAAGCUUAUGGUGUUUCCAUCAGGCCUUUGAUGGUGGGCCCCACUCAUCUUCAAGGAGCUGUUGCAAAAGGAGCUGGUAUAGUGCAUUUCGAUAUUUAGAUUUUAUUAGCAAUAGUAUUUUGGUGAACUUUUUUUUUCUUUUUCCAUCCCAUUGAUUGUUGAUACUGGUGUUUUUUUUUUUUUGGUGUGUGAUAUUUGCUAAUGGCAUUGAUUUUACAUAGUCAUGAAGUGAUUGUUUUAAUCCAUUUUUUAGGACCAUUUGAUUUAAAAAUUUCUCCCUCAUCCAUCUUUGCUUGUCUAGGUGAAAUUGAAGUUAGUACAUUAGAAUUUAGUCUGCAUGCAUGCAGAUUUAGUCUCUUUUUCAACACAAAAUGGUUUUCAUGUUGAAGAUCCAACCAUAAUGGGCACUCUAAAGUUCAGCAGAUCCAACCAUAAUGUGGGCCACAUGUACAAUUCACUGUUAAAAAAAAUAAAAUGGAUGGUUAUGCAUGCAGUGACCCACCCAAUGGAUGGGGCCAAUGAAAGGGCCUCCUCUUAAGGGAUCAAUUUUUGUGCAGCUUCCAUCCACUUCUGCUAGCCCACUUAUGCAACAACAAAAAGAUUAAAAUUGUAGUAAUUGCCUAUUUUUUGUUGAUCUUAUAAACCAUAGAGUUGUUCGUGAUUCAUGAUUCUGCUAGUGUUUUGGUUAUUAACUCUUUAAUGAUACUGUUCUGCCAGCUCUUGCUGACAAGAAUGUUCUGCCAUUUAUCCAUCACACAGAUGCCAUGUAACUCUUACCAUUUUUUUCUUUAAAUUAUUAUUGUGGUGGUCCUGUUAAAUAUAUGAAGUUUUCAAUUGUUUUCACCACUCAUGUCAAGGAGAUUUUAUGAUUGCUUCUUAUUAAAGUUGCUUAUUUAUUGAUACUGUUCUAUACUUUUUCUUUUUCCUGCGAUAGGUGGGGACGCAUCAAUGACUUCACCAUUGUUGUCAUUGAGUGAUGAGCCCCAACCAGAAGGGAAUUUGCUGUCUAUACUCAAAGCCCCGGGUUCUAUAGGCGAGUGUCUAGAAGUGUCCUUAAAGAAUGUUUGCAAAGAGGAAACUAGAUGAGUUUGUUUUCCUCGGGAAUCAACUACAGGUUUCAUAUGCUCCUCAGUUCGAGUCUCUUUCUAAUAUGAAGGAGAAAUUGGAAGGCAAGAGAAAAGAAGUUCUAAGCCCACUAAACUUGGGAAGAUCCAAAGGAUCAGAGCCUUCCAAACAAAUCAAGAGUACAUUUGUGGAAUCAGUGCAUGGAAUUUUAAUCUGGAGGAUUUGAAAGCUCAAGCUGCCAAAAUUCAGGAUGAUGAUGGAAUUUCCAUAGUAGAAGAUUCAGAUAUGAAUUGCAGGUCAAAGGAUGGAAAUGAUAUUGUGGAUUUUGCACCAAAGGUGCAGUCUCGUGAAAGAGCUAACCAUGCUGAAUCUGUGCUUGAACAGGAGGUUUCAAGAACUCUUAGUUUCUCUAUAAAAUAAGAAGGUAAGUAAUUCAGUGGUGAGGAUCCAUGUGAUUUCUUGCUUUACUUGUUCUUGGAUGCUUGAAUAUGACUAGAAUCUCUUAUGGAAGAGCAUAACUGCUUUAUCUUUCAUUAUAUUUGAUUCUUGUAUUGUUAGUUCAUCGAUAAGACCUCUUGAAAAGGUAACACUAUUCCACUUCCCUUUUAAGAGGCAAUCUGUUUACAAGUAAACAGAUUGUGCAUUUGGCUAGCUUGUAAAGUGUUUACAAUGGAUAAAGAAUUUUAUACAGUUGGGAAUAACUUGGAUGAUUUGAUUCAUGAAAGUUGUUGUGCAUGUUUCUUUUAUUGUUGAAUUCGAAAUUUUUAGAUGAGUUGAUCUAUCAGGGCAUGCACUAGCAAUGGUAAGCCAUUUAUUUAUUUAUU